GGGACUCAAAUCACAUAAAACAAAACGCCAAAACCCACCUAAAAGGCUUUAAACCCUCCUUCCUUCUUAGGUUCGCUGCUACAUCAGUCUAAUUAUCUCUGAAAUUCAGCAGGUGACGUUGUCUCUUCGCGAAGCUUACCUCUGGAAAUGGAUGCUUUUCACUUUGACGAAAUCAUUAAGGUGGUGAAGGUGGAUGCUGAUGGCAAAAAGUAUGAAAAAGUUUCUCGCAUAGAAGCAGAAAGUAGUGAUGGUGCGACAU
RNAcentral lists this unclassified non-coding RNA (259 nucleotides) under Hevea brasiliensis (rubber tree). Lineage: Eukaryota; Viridiplantae; Streptophyta; Magnoliopsida; Malpighiales; Euphorbiaceae. The record is from RNAcentral.